ACGCUGGCGGUAUGCUUAACACAUGCAAGUCGAACGGAAACGAUACUAGCUUGCUAGUAGGCGUCGAGUGGCGGACGGGUGAGUAACGCGUAGGAAUCUGCCUGAUAGUGGGGGAUAGCCCGAAGAAAUUCGGAUUAAUACCGCAUAAUCUAUUCGUAGUAAAGUGGGGGACUUUCGAGCCUCACGCUAUCAGAUGAGCCUGCGUAAGAUUAGCUAGUUGGUAGGGUAAAAGCCUACCAAGGCGACGAUCUUUAGCUGGUCUGAGAGGAUGAUCAGCCACAUCGGGACUGAGACACGGCCCGAACUCCUACGGGAGGCAGCAGUGGGGAAUAUUGGACAAUGGGGGCAACCCUGAUCCAGCAAUACCGCGUGUGUGAAGAAGGCCUGAGGGUUGUAAAGCACUUUCAAUUGUGAAGAAAAGUUAGCGGUUAAUAACCGUUAGCCUUGACGUUAACUUAGAAGAAGCACCGGCUAACUCCGU
This 481-nucleotide ribosomal RNA is filed under the name uncultured bacterium. RNAcentral describes it as "bacterial SSU rRNA". It matches the Rfam family "Bacterial small subunit ribosomal RNA", at positions 33 to 506 of the family's 1533-position model. The record is from RNAcentral.